RNAcentral lists this ribosomal RNA (301 nucleotides) under uncultured bacterium. RNAcentral describes it as "partial 16S ribosomal RNA". It matches the Rfam family "Bacterial small subunit ribosomal RNA", at positions 509 to 807 of the family's 1533-position model. The record is from RNAcentral.
CAGUAGCCGCGGUAAUACGAAGGGGGCUAGCGUUGCUCGGAAUCACUGGGCGUAAAGGGUGCGUAGGCGGGUCUUUAAGUCAGAGGUGAAAUCCUGGAGCUCAACUCCAGAACUGCCUUUGAUACUGAGGAUCUUGAGUUCGGGAGAGGUGAGUGGAACUGCGAGUGUAGAGGUGAAAUUCGUAGAUAUUCGCAAGAACACCAGUGGCGAAGGCGGCUCACUGGCCCGAUACUGACGCUGAGGCACGAAAGCGUGGGGAGCAAACAGGAUUAGAUACCCGAGUAGUCCCUGUCUCUUAUAC